UGUCCACAGGUCCUAGGGCAGUUCA
Molecule: small RNA, 25 nt
Filed under: Sinorhizobium meliloti 2011
Lineage: Bacteria; Pseudomonadati; Pseudomonadota; Alphaproteobacteria; Hyphomicrobiales; Rhizobiaceae
Description: putative ncRNA
Source: RNAcentral